Molecule: ribosomal RNA, 468 nt
Filed under: uncultured bacterium
Lineage: Bacteria
Description: partial 16S ribosomal RNA
Rfam family: Bacterial small subunit ribosomal RNA
Source: RNAcentral
GACGAACGCUGGCGGCGUGCUUAACACAUGCAAGUCGAACGGAAAGGCCCUGCUUUUGUGGGGUGCUCGAGUGGCGAACGGGUGAGUAACACGUGAGUAACCUGCCCUUGACUUUGGGAUAACUUCAGGAAACUGGGGCUAAUACCGGAUAGGAGCUCCUGCUGCAUGGUGGGGGUUGGAACGUUGCGGCGGUUGGGGAUGGACUCGCGGCUUAUCAGCUUGUUGGUGGGGUAGUGGCUUACCAAGGCUUUGACGGGUAGCCGGCCUGAGAGGGUGACCGGCCACAUUGGGACUGAGAUACGGCCCAGACUCCUACGGGAGGCAGCAGUGGGGAAUAUUGCACAAUGGGCGGAAGCCUGAUGCAGCAACGCCGCGUGCGGGAUGACGGCCUUCGGGUUGUAAACCGCUUUCGCCUGUGACGAAGCGUGAGUGACGGUAAUGGGUAAAGAAGCACCGGCUAACUACGUG